ACCCCUCCCCCCUUUAUCAAAAACAUCUUUUUUUCUUGUAUUCUGAAGAAUGGCCUGCCCGCUGACGUAUAUUUAAGUUGAAGGGCCGCGGUAUUUUGACCGUGCAAAGGUAGCAUAGUCAUUAGUUCUUUAAUUGUGAUCUGGUAUGAAUGGCUUGACGAGACAAGGGCUGUCUUAAGGUGUGGAAUUUGUUGUUGAAUUUUGAGUUUGAGUUAAAAUUCUUAGAUGUUUUUAUGGGACGAGAAGACCCUAUAGAGUUUGACAUUUGAUUACGUAUUUCUUGUUGUUUGUUUUAAAUUUUUGGUGUUUUUUGUUUUGUUGGGGUGAUGGGAGGAAUUUAUUUAACUCCUCUUUUUGUGUAGUAUAUUGAUGUAUAUGUAUAUUGAUCCAUUUAUUUUGAUUGUAAGAUUAAAUUACCUUAGGGAUAACAGCGUUAUCUUCCCUGAGAGUUCUUAUUGGCGGGGGGGUUUGCGACCUCGAUGUUGGAUUAAGGUUAAUUUUUGGUGUAGGAGCUGAAUUGAUUGGGUCUGUUCGACCUUUAAAAUCUUACGUGAUCUGAGUUCAGACCGGAA
This 572-nucleotide ribosomal RNA is filed under the name Odontotermes obesus. RNAcentral describes it as "partial large subunit ribosomal RNA". It matches the Rfam family "Bacterial large subunit ribosomal RNA", at positions 1787 to 2621 of the family's 2925-position model. Lineage: Eukaryota; Metazoa; Arthropoda; Insecta; Blattodea; Termitidae. The record is from RNAcentral.